ACGGUCCUAAGGUAGCGAAAUUCUUUGUCGGGUAAGUUCCGACCUGCAUGAAUGGCGUAACGACUGGAGCACUGUCUCAACCACCGACCCGGUGAAGUUGUAGCCGUGGUGAAGAUGCCACGUUCCCGCAUCGUGACGGAAAGACCCUAUGAACCUUUACUGCAAGCUGGUAUUGGUAUUAGAUAUAUCUUGUGUAGGAUAGGU
RNAcentral lists this ribosomal RNA (204 nucleotides) under Compsopogon caeruleus. RNAcentral's name for it is "partial Bacterial large subunit ribosomal RNA". It matches the Rfam family "Bacterial large subunit ribosomal RNA", at positions 1945 to 2148 of the family's 2925-position model. The record is from RNAcentral. Lineage: Eukaryota; Rhodophyta; Compsopogonophyceae; Compsopogonales; Compsopogonaceae.